GCACUGCUGAAGAGUCCCACUAUGGGACGAAACGGCCGUCCAGUGC
Molecule: non-coding RNA, 46 nt
Organism: Schistosoma margrebowiei
Lineage: Eukaryota; Metazoa; Platyhelminthes; Trematoda; Strigeidida; Schistosomatidae
Source: Rfam